GGUGAGUAACACGUGGGUAACCUGCCUGUAAGACUGGGAUAACUCCGGGAAACCGGGGCUAAUACCGGAUGGUUGUUUGAACCGCAUGGUUCAAACAUAAAAGGUGGCUUCGGCUACCACUUACAGAUGGACCCGCGGCGCAUUAGCUAGUUGGUGAGGUAACGGCUCACCAAGGCGACGAUGCGUAGCCGACCUGAGAGGGUGAUCGGCCACACUGGGACUGAGACACGGCCCAGACUCCUACGGGAGGCAGCAGUAGGGAAUCUUCCGCAAUGGACGAAAGUCUGACGGAGCAACGCCGCGUGAGUGAUGAAGGUUUUCGGAUCGUAAAGCUCUGUUGUUAGGGAAGAACAAGUACCGUUCGAAUAGGGCGGUACCUUGACGGUACCUAACCAGAAAGCCACGGCUAACUACGUGCCAGCAGCCGCGGUAAUACGUAGGUGGCAAGCGUUGUCCGGAAUUAUUGGGCGUAAAGGGCUCGCAGGCGGUUUCUUAAGUCUGAUGUGAAAGCCCCCGGCUCAACCGGGGAGGGUCAUUGGAAACUGGGGAACUUGAGUGCANAAGANGAGAGUGGAAUUCCACGUGUAGCGGUGAAAUGCGUANNGAUGUGGAGGAACACCAGUGGCGAAGGCGACUCUCUGGUCUGUAACUGACGCUGANGAGCGAAAGCGUGNGGAGCGAACAGGAUUANAUACCCUGGUAGUCCACGCC
Molecule: ribosomal RNA, 711 nt
Filed under: uncultured bacterium
Lineage: Bacteria
Description: bacterial SSU rRNA
Rfam family: Bacterial small subunit ribosomal RNA
Source: RNAcentral